RNAcentral lists this long non-coding RNA (248 nucleotides) under Glycine max (soybean). Its description in RNAcentral is "long non-coding RNA (GMAX_LNC002724)". The record is from RNAcentral. Lineage: Eukaryota; Viridiplantae; Streptophyta; Magnoliopsida; Fabales; Fabaceae.
CACAAUCUCCCCUGCUUUCACCACCUGAUUGAGUUCUCUUUGUCUUCCCACAAAAAUUGUUACCACCAAAAGAAAAAUCAAUCAUCGCUCUGAUCCCCGCUUGCUCUCUUCUCUGAUUUUUGUUCUGUUCUUUCUACAACACUAAAUUUAAGAUGGGUAGGUCUAAAGGAAACAACUUUGGCAUCCGAUUCUGUUUUUGAUUUGAUCGGUGUACAGAUUCUAAAAUUUUGUUCUUUCUUUAAUUGGAC